GGGUUGUGAGGUUAAGCGAAUAAGCGUACACGGUGGAUGCCUAGGCAAUCAGAGGCGAUGAAGGACGUGCUAAUCUGCGAUAAGCGUCGGUAAGGUGAUAUGAACCGUUAUACCCGACGAUUUCCGAAUGGGGGAAACCCAAUAUCCUAUGGAUAUUAUCAUUAACUGAAUACAUAGGUUAAUGAGGCGAACCGGGAGAACUGAAACAUCUCAGUACCCCGAGGAAAAGAAAUCAACCGAGAUUCCCCUAGUAGCGGCGAGCGAACGGGGAGCAGCCCAGAGUCUUAAUCAAUGGCAGCAUCAGGAGAACGGUCUGGAAAGUCCGGCAGUAAAGGGUGAUAGCCCCGUAUCCGAAGAUACUGUUA
RNAcentral lists this ribosomal RNA (365 nucleotides) under Shigella sp. FC1967. Its description in RNAcentral is "bacterial LSU rRNA". It matches the Rfam family "Bacterial large subunit ribosomal RNA", at positions 1 to 393 of the family's 2925-position model. The record is from RNAcentral. Lineage: Bacteria; Pseudomonadati; Pseudomonadota; Gammaproteobacteria; Enterobacterales; Enterobacteriaceae.